AUGGACAAGAACAGCGGCUCCAACAGCUCCUCCGCCUCUUCGGGCAGCAGCAAAGGGCAACAGCCGCCCCGCUCCGCCUCGGCGGGGCCAGCCGGCGAGUCUAAACCCAAGAGCGAUGGAAAGAACUCCAGUGGAUCCAAGCGUUAUAAUCGCAAACGUGAACUUUCCUACCCCAAAAAUGAAAGUUUUAACAACCAGUCCCGUCGCUCCAGUUCACAGAAAAGCAAGACUUUUAACAAGAUGCCUCCUCAAAGGGGCGGCGGCAGCAGCAAACUCUUUAGCUCUUCUUUUAAUGGUGGAAGACGAGAUGAGGUAGCAGAGGCUCAACGGGCAGAGUUUAGCCCUGCCCAGUUCUCUGGUCCUAAGAAGAUCAACCUGAACCACUUGUUGAAUUUCACUUUUGAACCCCGUGGCCAGACGGGUCACUUUGAAGGCAGUGGACAUGGUAGCUGGGGAAAGAGGAACAAGUGGGGACAUAAGCCUUUUAACAAGGAGCUCUUUUUACAGGCCAAAGUCUCCCUCUGUCACCCAGGCUGGAGUGUAGUGGCGUGAUCUCGGCUCACUGCAGCCUCCGCCUCUCAGG
Molecule: small RNA, 583 nt
Filed under: Pongo abelii (Sumatran orangutan)
Lineage: Eukaryota; Metazoa; Chordata; Mammalia; Primates; Hominidae
Description: processed transcript
Source: RNAcentral